This 824-nucleotide long non-coding RNA is filed under the name Macaca mulatta (Rhesus monkey). Its description in RNAcentral is "lncRNA (ENSMMUG00000051776.1)". Lineage: Eukaryota; Metazoa; Chordata; Mammalia; Primates; Cercopithecidae. The record is from RNAcentral.
AUGGCAAGAGGAAUGGUUUUUCAGGCUGGAUCUGUCCUUGUGGCAGCUAAUUUAGGAUCUCUUAGCAGGGCCAGUGUGCCCACCUCACAGGUAGGAAAACUGAGAUUCGCAAAGGAAAGCGGCUUUUCCAGGGAUUCUCAGGAAAAGAUUGACCCAACGAGGAGUAGAGCCAAGAUCUUUUGGAGUUUCUCAACAAUUGAAUCUGCAAUCCUAUUCCAGCACUGGAAAUCUGCAUUUUAAAUAAGACCCCUGGGUUCCUUCAAGAAUGAGAAGUAGAUCUAACAUUUGAUUCAGCAAUCUCACUCCUAAGUAUCUACUCGGAAGAAAAGAAGUCAUUAUAUGAAAAAGACACUUGUACAGGCAUGUUUGUAGCAGCACAAUUGCAAAAAUAUGGAACCAGCCCAAGUGCCCAUCAAUCAAUGAGUGGAUAAAGAAAAUGUGGUAUACAGGUAUGUAUACAGGUGGUGUUUGGUUACAUGGAUAAGUUCAUUAGCAGUGAUUUCUGAGAUUUUGGUGCACCCAUCAUCCAAGCAGUAUACACUGUACCUAAUGUGUAGUAUUUUAUCCCUCAGUUCCCUCCCACCCUUGCCCCAGAGUCUCGAAGAUCUAUUGUAUCAUUCUCAUGCCUUUGCAUCCUCAUAGCUUAGCUCCCAUUUACGAGAGAGAACAUACGAUGUUUGGUUUUCUAUUCCUGAGUUACUUCACUUAAAAUAAUGGUCUCCAAUUCCAUCCAGGUUGCCGCAAAUGCCGUUAUUUCAAAACCCCAAAUCCAGAAAUAACUGCUAAAGAACUUAUCCAUGUAAUCAAACACCACCUGUUCCCCA